AUGAUGGAUAAGUUUUUUGAUGUGCUGUUGCAAUCGGCCUGCCAAUAUUUUAUUGAAGAUUUUUGCAUCUAUGUUCAUCAUGGAUAUUGGCCUGAAGUUUUCUUUUCUUGUUGGGUCUCUGCCGGGUUUUGGUAUCAGGAUGAUAUUGGCCUGAAGUUUUCUUUUCUUGUUGGGUCUCUGCUGGGUUUUGGUAUCAGAAUGAUGUUGGUCUCAUAAAAUGAUUUGGGAAGGAUUCCCUCUGUUUGGAUUGUUUGAAAUAGUUUUAGAAGAAAUGGUGCCAGCUCUUCCUUGUGUGUCUGGUAGAAUUCGGCUGUGAACCCGUCUGGACCUGGGCUUUUUUUUUGUGUGGUAGGCUCUUAAUUGCUGCCUCAACUUCAGACCUUGUUAUUGGUCUAUUCAUAGUUUCAGCUUCCUCCUGGUUUAGGCUUGGGAGGACACAGGAAUCCAGGAAUUUGUCCAUUUCUUCCACGUUUACUAGUUUAUGUGCAUAGAGUUGUUUGUAAUAUUCUCUGAUGAUGGUUUGAAUUUCUGUGGAAUCUGUGGUGAUUUCCCCUUUAUCAUUUUUUAUUGCAUCUAUUUGGUUGUUCUCUCUUUUCUUUUUAAUCAAUCUGGCUAGUGGUCUGUCUAUUUUGUUGAUCUUUUCAAAAAACCAGCUCUUGGAUUUAUUGAUUUUUUGAAGGGUUUUUCGUGUCUCAAUCUCCUUCAGCUCAGCUCUGAUCUUAGUUAUUUCUUGUCUUCUGCUGGGUUUUGAGUUUUUUUUGAUCUUGCUCCUCUAGCUCUUUCAAUUUUGACGAUAGGGUGUCAAUUUUGGAUCUCUCCAUUCUCCUCAUAUGCGUACUUAUUGCUAUAUACUUUCCUCUAGAGACUGCUUUAAAUGUGUCCCAGAGGUUCUGGCACGUUGUGUCUUCGUUCUCAUUGGUUUCGAAGAACUUCUUUAUUUCUUCCUUCAUUUCGUUGUUUACCCAGUCAACAUUCAAGAGCCAGUUGUUCAGUUUCCAUGAAGCUGUGCGGUUCUGGGUCUGUUUCUGAAUUCUGAGUUCUAACUUGAUUGCACUAUGGUCUGAGAGGCUGUUUGUUAUGAUUUCAGUUGUUUUGCAUUUGUUGAGCAGUGUUUUACUUCCAAUUAUGUGGUCAAUUUUAGAGUUGGUGUGAUGUGGU
RNAcentral lists this long non-coding RNA (1158 nucleotides) under Callithrix jacchus (white-tufted-ear marmoset). RNAcentral describes it as "lncRNA (ENSCJAG00000081513.1)". The record is from RNAcentral. Lineage: Eukaryota; Metazoa; Chordata; Mammalia; Primates; Cebidae.